GGGGGGGCGGGGAUCUGCUUCCUCCAAAAAAACUACAAUGUAUGCCUUGCUCACGUCAAAUUAUUUAAAGACAAGCCAAGCAUACAUCAAGGCUGAGACAGUAUCUACACUGAGUAUGGAGUAGUGAUACCCAUUGGAACAUGUAAGUUUGAGACAUUUGCAUGACUCUUUUAAAUUUAUGUUGGCACCUUCAGGAGGAAUGA
RNAcentral lists this long non-coding RNA (203 nucleotides) under Mytilus galloprovincialis (Mediterranean mussel). Lineage: Eukaryota; Metazoa; Mollusca; Bivalvia; Mytilida; Mytilidae. The record is from RNAcentral.